GGGCCCGCACAAGCGGUGGAGUAUGUGGUUUAAUUCGAUGCAACGCGAAGAACCUUACCAGGGUUUGACAUCCUGCGAAUCUCUUGGAAACAGGAGAGUGCCUUCGGGAACGCAGUGACAGGUGGUGCAUGGCUGUCGUCAGCUCGUGUCGUGAGAUGUUGGGUUAAGUCCCGCAACGAGCGCAACCCACGUCUUUAGUUGCCAGCAUUUAGUUGGGCACUCUAGAGAGACUGCCGGUGAUAAACCGGAGGAAGGUGUGGAUGACGUCAGAUCAUCACGGCCCUUACGUCCUGGGCUACACACGUGCUACAAUGGCAAGGACAAUGAGCUGCCAACCCGCGAGGGUGAGCAAAUCUUCAAACCUUGUCUCAGUUCGGAUCGGAGUCUGCAACUCGACUCCGUGAAGUUGGAAUCGCUAGUAAUCGCGUAUC
This 431-nucleotide ribosomal RNA is filed under the name uncultured bacterium. RNAcentral's name for it is "bacterial SSU rRNA". It matches the Rfam family "Bacterial small subunit ribosomal RNA", at positions 917 to 1350 of the family's 1533-position model. The record is from RNAcentral.